CAGACUGCCAGCGGCUGAUACAGGCUACAUUCCAUUCCAGCAGCUCUUCCCUUCAAGCCCUAGCUAAUCUGAAGAAAAAGCUUACAGGCCACACAGAGGGGAAAAAAAGAUUUCCCCCCAGAGUCUGGGCUUGGUGCUUUGCAGUGCUGGCGACCUAUUCCCUUUGACGAUCCCUAGGUGGAGAUGGGGCAUGAGGAUCCUCCAGGGGAAUAGCUCACCACCACUGGGCAACAGGCCUAGCCCCGAUUUCAGUGAGACACUUUCCAGAACCCAGCAAGGAAGACAAAGGCUCAAAGACAGCUAGCCACCCUACAUCAAAAUAGGACAAAAGCUGCCACAAUAGUGGCACCGACCUCAGGAGGAAGCCAUUCUGCUCUAUUUGGUUCUCCCUGGAAGCUAGGAGAAUGCUGCCAGCUGUUUACACACUUCAAGAUGCACUCUGCUACCCUACCAGUAAUACACAAUGCCAUCUACCAAAUAUCACCCUUCCCCAAAGCAGCACAGAAAACUGAACCUUCAGCACGAUCAAGAAAUGUAAACACAUGGAAGAAUGCCAGCUUUACAUACGACCAGAGGAUCAACAUGUCUGACUUAGCAUCCUAAGGGCAACAG
This is a long non-coding RNA of Rattus rattus (black rat), 612 nucleotides long. RefSeq lists it as uncharacterized. The transcript has 4 exons. NCBI's taxonomy places the organism in Eukaryota, Metazoa, Chordata, Mammalia, Rodentia, Muridae. The record is from RefSeq and is a predicted model, not a curated record.